UACGUAGGCAGCGAGCGUUAAUCGGAAUUACUGGGCGUAAAGCGUGCGCAGGCGGUUCGUUGUGUCGGUGGUGAAAGCCCCGGGCUUAACCUGGGAAUGGCCAUGGAAACUGGCGAACUGGAGUGUGGCAGAGGGGGGUGGAAUUCCGCGUGUAGCAGUGAAAUGCGUAGAGAUGCGGAGGAACACGAUGGCGAAGGCAGCCCCCUGGGCUAGCACUGACGCCUCAGGCACGAAAGCGUGGGGAGCAAACAGG
This 253-nucleotide ribosomal RNA is filed under the name uncultured bacterium. RNAcentral describes it as "partial 16S ribosomal RNA". It matches the Rfam family "Bacterial small subunit ribosomal RNA", at positions 524 to 776 of the family's 1533-position model. The record is from RNAcentral.